AAAAAGGAGUGUUUAGUUCCAAUAUUUGCUUCUAUUUUCUUUUAUUUGAUCCUCAUGCUUAGGUGUUAAAUAUUUCUUGUUAAUUAAGUUUUUGCAGAGGGGUGGUUUGGAUAAAAUUUUAAAGGGUGUUCUGGUUAUUAGAUAUUUAGAGGGUCCAACGAAGUGCCAGCAGACGCGGUAAUUCUUUGGCUUGAAUUGGGGGCAUAGCAGUUUAAAAUUUGGGUUUUUAUAGGUAGUAUUAAGUUGUUUAGCUUUAAUAUUGGUGAAAUUUGUUUUAGUUAAAUAUUUUUUUGAUUCUUUAUUAGUUGAGGUUACCCGAAAGUUUAGGGUUUUAACCAGGAUUAGAUACCCUGUUAUUCCUUUUAAAAUUGAAUUCAAGGUGGAUUUUACUGUUUACUGGGCGAUUAGGUUUUUUAACUGAAAGCCGAGGGACUUGGCGGUUGAAUGGUCUGAUUAGAGGGGCUCGAUUCUUUAUUUGAUGGUCCGCGUAGAACCUUACUUGUUUUUGUUAUGUAACAGCUAGCAUAUUACCGCCUAGAUUCACUUGGACAGGUUAGUAUGUUUUCUUUUUGAGGUUUUUCUUUAGGGCAGGUCAAAAUUCUGCCUAUAUACAAGGGGUUUAAUAUUGAGUUACAUUUAGUUAUUUUAAAUUAGGUUUACUUAGGUAAGGAAGGAAGGAAGCAAUGAAAUUUGUUUCUCUUAACUAGGAUUUAAUAGUAAUUUUCUCAUUAGACUGGGUUUAUGAAUUCGGUCAAUUCUUUGUACAAAUCGCCCGUCACGUUGACUAGAUUAUUUUAGUUGGCUAAGUCGUAACAUGGUAGGUAUACGUGAACGUGUACCUGGGUUUAGAAUAAAAUUGUGUUU
This 864-nucleotide ribosomal RNA is filed under the name Rhabdopleura compacta. RNAcentral describes it as "12S ribosomal RNA". The stretch from base 399 to 842 matches the Rfam family "Microsporidia small subunit ribosomal RNA", at positions 751 to 1303 of the family's 1311-position model. The record is from RNAcentral. Lineage: Eukaryota; Metazoa; Hemichordata; Pterobranchia; Rhabdopleurida; Rhabdopleuridae.